GGAGUCCGACCCUUUACGAAGGGGAAGUAGAGAGCAUCAAGCUUCCAAGAAAAGCCCUAAAACCGUUAAUUUACCAACGCCUGUACCCGAAACCGACACAGGUAGGGAGGUUGAGAAAACUCAGGGGCGCGAGAUAACUCUCUCUAAGGAACUCGGCAAAAUGGCUCCGUAACUUCGGGAGAAGGAGUGCUUACGCAAGUAAGCCGCAGUGAAGAGGCCCAGGCGACUGUUUACCAAAAACACAGGUCUCCGCCAACUCGUAAGAGGAAGUAUGGGGGCUGACGCCUGCCCAGUGCCGGAAGGUUAAGGAAGUCGGUCAGGCGCAAGCUAAAGCUGAUGACUGAAGCCCCGGUGAACGGCGGCCGUAACUAUAACGGUCCUAAGGUAGCGAAAUUCCUUGUCGGGUAAGUUCCGACCCGCACGAAAGGCGUAACGAUCUGGGCACUGUCUCGGAGAGAGACUCGGCGAAAUAGAAUUGUCUGUGAAGAUACGGACUACCUGCACCUGGACAGAAAGACCCUAUGAAGCUUUACUGUAUCCUGGAAUUGGGUUCGGGCUUUGCUUGCGCAGUAUAGGUGGGAGGCGUGGAAGUCAUCCUUGUGGGGAUGAUGGAGCCAUCGGUGAGAUACCACUCUAGUAGAGCUAGAAUUCUAACUCUGACCCGUGAAUCCGGGUUGAAGACAGUUUCAGGGGGGCAGUUUGACUGGGGCGGUCGCCUCCUAAAAGGUAACGGAGGCGCGCAAAGGUUCCCUCAGAAUGGUUGGAAAUCAUUCGCAGAGUGUAAAGGCAUAAGGGAGCUUGACUGUGAGACCUACAAGUCGAACAGGGUGGAAACACGGCCUUAGUGAUCCGACGGUACUGUGUGGAAAGGCCGUCGCUCAACGGAUAAAAGUUACUCUAGGAUAACAGGCUGAUCUCCCCCAAGAGUUCACAUCGACGGGGAGGUUUGGCACCUCGAUGUCGGCUCAUCGCAACCUGGGGCGGAAGUACGUCCCAAGGGUUGGGCUGUUCGCCCAUUAAAGCGGUACGUGAGCUGGGUUCAGAACCUCGUGAGACAGUUCGGUCCAUAUCCGGUGCAGGCGCAAGAGCAUUGAGAGGAGCCUUCCCUAGUACGAGAGGACCGGGAAGGACGCACCGCUGGUGUACCUGUUAUCGUGCCAACGGUAAACGCAGGGUAGCUAUGUGCGGAGUGGAUAACCGCUGAAAGCAUCUAAGUGGGAAGCCCACCUCAAGAUGAUUGCUCUCACCACUUUUUGUGGGUAAGGUCACGGGCAGAACACCCGUUUAUAGGUGUUAGGUCGAAGUCCAGCGUUGGAUGUAGCCGAGACACACUAACAGACCGAGGGCUUG
Molecule: ribosomal RNA, 1350 nt
Filed under: metagenome
Description: bacterial LSU rRNA
Rfam family: Bacterial large subunit ribosomal RNA
Source: RNAcentral